This 7163-nucleotide long non-coding RNA is filed under the name Sus scrofa (pig). RNAcentral describes it as "lncRNA (ENSSSCG00000053980.1)". Lineage: Eukaryota; Metazoa; Chordata; Mammalia; Artiodactyla; Suidae. The record is from RNAcentral.
GAUAAAUCUCAAAACUAUAUCACUGAUUUGUUUCUCUCAAGGGAGGGAAACAGGAUGACUAGGACUCAGAGGUGAGAAGAGUAUUUUUACUUUUUUAUGCUUUUAGAAGCUAAACUUGGUACCAAGUAAGCAUAGUUCUUUAAAAAAAAUUACAAUAAAUUCAAUUAUUCAGUAAAUUCACUUGAAUUAUAUAAAGGAUGUAGAAGGCUGGUCGAGGACAAAUCAUUUUUUUAAAGUUUAAAAAGCAGACACAAUGAAGAGCAACCAGCUCUCCUCUGCUCCCCUCAUGGUUUUGACAAACCAGACUGUUCAGAGUUUAACUCAGAGGCCAGACUCCCGCACUUGUUUCUAAACCUGAGCCACUGCAUUGGCUGGAAACCAAAGCUCUUGCUUUUCUUUCAUUUUUGCUUCUGGCAAUAAAGACAACAGGGGAAGAAAAAUCUAGCGAAGACCAGGGAGAGAUGAGAACCAGUGAGAGAUGAGCUGGCAGAGGCUGGGCCCUUGGAGUCCUUUCAUGGCUGAAGGCAAACAGCUUGUGUGCCAGCAGCUCCUGCUCUCGGCAGCUUCUCUGGAAACUCCAGCAACCUGCCGCUGAGCUGAUCUUAUCAGCUGUUCUCCUUAAGCUUGUUUACUUCCUUCUGUCAGAAAACUUGCACAAUAUGCUGGCUGAGUUAGAACAAGGCACUUUGCUGAAAUGUUUAUACAUUGUCAUAAUAAAUCUGCUGAUGUCUACACUGUGACCUGCUCAGAUCUCUAAGCCCUGGUGUUUCUGAGUUCAGCUCUGUAGGUGAUGUGUCUUGAGCCCUUCCAAUGGGAGGAUAAGGGCUGAGCUUGAAUGCUUAGUCAACCGGCCCUCAGAUGGCUAGCUCAAUCUCUUCUCUCAUUAGUAAGUCCCUCUUCUUUGCCUCCCACUAGCUGAGAUUUUUGCUUCCCACUGGAGGCUCAGCUAGGCUUCAGAUUUCUUAGAGAAGUUCAUGGAGAAUUAAAUCCUCCUUUUCUUACUCCAUUGAAUGUCUACUGAAUAUCCUAACCUCGUGCUGGUAUCUCGUGAUCUCUAAGGCCUAGAGUCACUCUAUCUAUACCCCUAAGGUCAGGACAAGGUGGCCCCCCCGGGCCUGCUCACAGUUCCAACCUGUGCAGGAGCCGGCUCUUGCUUCUAUCAAGGCCCAUGUGCCUUCUAAUUGGGUUGGUGUUCUUGUUUCCUGAGUGUCUGAGCGCUGGAGGUGAUCUUGAACCUGAGACAGAGAAAGUUGAAUGUCUCAGGAAGGAGAUGUCAAAAAACUCCAGGUGACCUUGAAAUGUCUCCACCCCAUUUUCCUCCCUCAUUCCAUUUAAAAUCUUUGUCAUUGUCAUUCUUGGAGUUCAUGGCAUUGGAGGUAGGCAGGAUCCUAAAGUAAACCCCAGCGACUCUCACUCUUACAUAAUCUCUUCCCCUCCGAAUGCAGUUGGAUCUGUGAUUGUUAUGUUAUGUGGCAAAAAGGAGAUGAUCCAGGUGGGCUUAAUUAAUCACAUGAGCUCCUCAAAAGCAGAGAGUUUUUUUCCAGCUGGCUGCAGAGGACAAAGUUAUAGAAAUCCUAAACAUACAUAGGGUUGAUGUACAAUUGCUGGCUUGACAAUGGAGGGGGCCACGUGGCAAGGAAUGAGGAAAACCUCUAGAAACUGAGCAGUGUCAUCCCUCUCCCACCUGCUGCUGCUGAGAGCCAGCACGGAGAUGGCACUUCAGUCCUACAGCUACCAGGAGCUGAGUCCUACUGACAUUCUGAAUGAGCUUGGCAGCUAAUGCUUCCCCAGAGCCUCCAGUUGUGAGCAAGCCCAGACUGGCUGACACCGUGAUUUGGCCUUCAGAGACCUGGAUCAGAAGACCCAGUUCAGCCCGCCCAAACUUCUGACCUACAGAACUGUGAAAUCAUACAUGAGUGUUAUGUUAAGCUGCUAAAUUUGUGGUGUCUUGUUACACAGCAGGAGAAAAUCUUCCUCUCGCUUUAUGGUGCAUUUCAGCUUUCCUUUCUUAGAGAAGCUCUGGGGGGAGCAGCAACCCAGAGGGGUGUGAGCUGUGAGCUCUGAUAGCCUCUCUAAGGAAGAAUGCGAUAAUGACGAGCAGAUAAUACUUACUGAGCACCUCUUCUGCCGCAGGUAUUAUUUCAAGCACUUUGGAUUCCUUUAAUCCAACCACAAUCCCAUGAGGUUGUAUGAUUGUUAUCACCAUUUUACAGUUGAGAAAACUGAGGCACAGCCAGGUGAGGCUGCUUUUCUGAGGUUGUGGAUUUAGGCAGUGGUGGAGCCAGAAUUCCCACUUCAGCGGUCUGGCUGGAGGGUGUGGACACUUAAACUCUACCCAGAAAAUCUUUAUCCGAGUCAAAAUUCCUUUUGGGGAGUUCCCAUGGUGGCUCAGCAGGUUACGAACUCAACUGGUAUCCAUGAGGAUGUGGGUUCAAUCCCUGGCCUUGCUUAGUGGGUUAAGGAUCCGGUGUUGCCAUAAGCUGCAGUGUAGUUUGCUGAUGCAGCUCAGAUCUGGCGUUGCUGUGGCUGUGGUGUAGCCCAGCAGCUACAGCUCCAAUUCAACCCCUAGCCUGGGAACUUCCAUAUGCCCCAGGUACAGCCCUAAAAGGGAAAAAAAUUCCUUUUGAGAAAACUUAAUAGAGUGCAUGCAUCCUUAUGAAUCCCAGGCCUCCUGAACAUGCUCUCUACCACCUGCAUAGCGACUGACCCCCGGUCUUCUUAGAGCUGCCCUGAUCUCCAGAAAAAGUUUGGGUCUCCUGCACCUCCAACAGUGGUAGAGAGAGAGUCUUAAGUGAUUUUCUUGUGUCAGGAGUAUCCUUGAGCAGCUUUCUGUGUUAAAUUGAGAGAGAAAAGUCUCAGAAGUUUUACAGCUCACGCAGACUCCCAAGGGCAGCUAGGCUAGCCCAGGAAGGAGAAACAAUUGGUCAAGGAACAAAGGAGAAAGUGAGAAAGUAGUGGGAUUGGAGGAUCUCAGAAGCUUGCCACUGCUCGGACCUGCAUCUUGAGAUUCUGAGGGACACCACUCCCACUGCCCAGGUGGGGAGAGCCAACUCUGCCCAGGCCAGUGGUCCAAAGUAAGAAACCUCCUUGAGGUCCCAGAGCAGGGUUCCUAUCUCUGGCUGGAGAGACACCCUAAGACCGUAGAUGUUUAGACAUGAUAGUGCAGGAGCAAAAUGACAGGCCGUGGCUUUUCCCACUAACUCUUCAGCUGCCACCACCCAAGGACUUGGUGGGGCAGGGUUGUUAGAUUACUUCCUGUGAACAACCUCAGGUCUAGUUGCAUGAGUCUCCUUCCUGGUGAGAGAGCAACCACAUCAAAACAUCUCUUGUAGCUCCAGGCUCUAGCAGUGUUUCGUUAUAUACAGGUGGCAAAUUUGAGGUUCAGUUUCAUUUCAGAGUCCAUUCAUGCCUGCCAUAGGAGGUAAGUUUUAUUAAGAUUCCCUCAAGCAGCCCAAAGAUGUCCUUGCUUCUGUUUGUGGAUAAGGCUUUAAGAGCCAUUUUAAAAAUGGAGAAUACUCUUUGUGGCUGGCGUUGGGAGUUGCCUGCCCCGUGUCCAUUCUUGCUUCUUCCCCACUAAAGGACCCCACUUUUGUUCAGAACAGUAAUGCACCCAGCUAAGUGUAUGCACCCUCCUAGAUUCCUUUGCUCAUAGGGGUUUAUGUGUGACACCGUUUUGGACCAUGAAAGUCACUGAACAGGGCUUCUGGGAGAGAUGGUUAAAAGGGGAUCUUGUCUUCAGCCUUCUGUCCCUUCCUUUCAUGCCUGAGAAGGAGUACUGCUUAUGAUGCCUGAUGGUGAGGUGACAAGAUAGAGGACUUCUCCCUCCCUCUCUCUCUCUUUUCUCUGCUCUCUCCUUUCCUCUCUGUCACAAUGUCUUGUUUCCAUUGUACGUUUUCUGCCCAUGAAAUAGCUGCUGAUGCUUAUGGAGAAAACGCUGGGAUUCACCCUCCUAUUACACCUUCCAGACUGUCACUUAAAGAGCAUGAAUGCUGAAGAGAGCCACAAGAUCGAAGGAGACUCUGCAGAGAGGGCAGAUGUGGCAGCAUGAAUGACUGCUGAUGACACGUGACCAGAGAGAGAUCCGGUCCUGGGCCUGGCCAUGUUGAAGACCCUGGAAAUAAGACAUGACCUUCACAUGAAGUUAGUCCCAGGAAUAGCUAACUAAGGUUAAAUUCUCUGUGAGCUCAAAUCAAAAUUACAUCAAUUUAUAGAAAAUAGGAGAGCUGAUAGACUUCAGAUGCUGCAGCUUUAAAAUUGUACACUUGUAUAGCCAUAUUUUGAGUGCCUGGUAUGCAGUAUAUCAAUGCAAUACUUAUUAGUGAAAAAAAAAUCACUGGACAAUCUAAUAGGAUCUACAAACCAAUAAAAGUUCAGCAAGAUUGCUCAUACCGGGAUAGAACAUGAUGGAAGAUAAUAUGAGAAAAAGAACAUAUAUAUAUAUUAUAUAUAUAUAAUAUGCAUGACUGGGUCAUUUGCUGUGCAGCAGAAAUUGGCACAACAUCAUACAUCAAUUAUAUUUUAAUAAAAAGAUUUCUGGGUACAAGAUGAAUAUAGAAAAAUCAGUUGGGUUCUAGACACCUACAACAAACAGUCAUAAAAAUUAUUUUUAGAAAAUAUAUUAUUUAUGAUAGGAACAAAUUCUCUAAGUUAUCUUGGAAAAAAUAAAAAGUACGUGAGACUUUAAUGGAGAAGGCUAUCUUUUCUUUCUUUCUUUUUUUUUUUUUUUUUAAGGGCAGCACCCAUGGCGUAUGGAGGUUCUCAGGCUAGGGGUUGAAUUAAAGCUAGAGUCACUGGCCUGCACCACAACCACAUGCAUGACAGAUCCAAGCCGCAUCUGCGACCCACACCACAGCACAUGGCAACGCUGGAUCCUUAUCCCACUGAGCGAGGCCAGGGAUCAAACCUGCGUCCUCAUGGAUACUAGUCGGAUUUAUUUCUGCUGAGCCAUGACAGCAACUCUGAGAAGACUAUUUUUUAAAAAAGAAAACUAUAUUAUACAAUAACAUUAUUUUUAUUUUAUUUUAUUUUUUUUAUUUUCCCACUGUACAGCAAGGGGGUCAGGUUAUCCUUAGAUGUAUACAUUGCAGUUACAAUUUUUUCCCCCACCCUUUCUUCUGUUGCGACAUGAGUAUCUAGACAUAGUGCUCAAUGCUAUUCAGCAGGAUCUCCUUGUAAAUCUAUUCUAGGUUGUGUCUGAUAAGCCCAAGCUCCCUAUCCCUCCCACUCCCUCCCCCUCCCAUCAGGCAACCACAAGUCUCUUCUCCAAGUCCAUGAUUUUCUUUUCUGAGGAGAUGUUCAUUUGUGCUGGAUAUUAGAUUCCAGUUCUAAGUGAUAUCAUAUGGUAUUUGUCUUUGUCUUUCUGGCUCAUUUCACUCAGGAUGAGAUUCUCUAGUUCCAUCCAUGUUGCUGCAAAUGGCAUGAUGUCAUCCUUUUUUAUGGCUGAGUAGUAUUCCAUUGUGUAUAUAUACCACAUCUUCCGAAUCCAGUCAUAUGUCGAUGGACAUUUGGGUUGUUUCCACGUCCUGGCUAUUGUGAAUAGUGCUGCAAUGAACAUGCGGGUGCACGUGUCUCUUUUAAGUAGAGCUUUGUCCGGAUAGAUGCCCAAGAGUGGGAUUGCAGGGUCAUAUGGAAGUUCUAUGUAUAGAUUUCUAAGGUAUCUCCAAACUGUUCUCCAUAGUGGCUGUACACAAUAACAUUCUUAUCAAAAGCCCAAUUGAGUUUUUCAAGCAACUUAACAAAUUGUUUUUAAAAUUUAAAUAUAAAAGUAAAAGGCCUAGAAUAACCAAGAAAAAAUUUGAGAAGAAUAACAUGGGGGCUUACUUUACCAAAUAUCAAUAUUCGUUACAAGGCUAGAGUUAUUAAGACAAUGCAGUAUUUAUAUAGGAAUUUUAAAAAAAGGACCAGUGGAAGAAGGUUGAAAGUUCAGAAACAGAUUGCCUCCCAUUUAAACGCCAAAGAUGACAGGGGCACGAAAAAUUAGUGGAGGAAAAAUGGACUCUGAUCAACGGCGCUGGACAAUUGGUUAUGCAUGGGCAGUGGGAAUUAAAUUAUAUCCCCAAUUCAUGCCAUCACCAAAAAGACAUGAAAGAUUGUUAGAGACAUGAAUAUAAGAAACAAACGUUUACAAGUCUUAAAGAAAAUAUAGACUAUAUUUGUGGCUUUGGGGUAGAGAAGUUUCUUGAACAAGAUAGAAAAAGCCCAAAUCAUAAAGGAAAAGACUAAUAUAUUUGCUUAAGUGAAAAAAAAAUCUACACACCAAAGAAACCAUAAGGACUGGCCUGCUCAGGCUGGAUGCCACCCUGGCCAUGGUACUCAAAGGCAAUGUCAGGAGGGCCACAGGCAGGUGCUGUCGGCAAGGCCUGUCUCAGGACCAGCAUCCUACAGAUGAGGCUGCCCUGGAAUGCAUAACAGAGUGGAAGAGAGCAGCCUGCUCUCUGGGAAGCUCAGCUUAUAGGUCGGGGAGGUAGCCCUUCUCUAUGCGAAAUGUAGCUAUGUGAUUGAAUGCCCCCCCCCAUAUUAUUUGCAGAGAUAUAGAAAAGUUAAUUUUAUCACUUUGGGCUACAGAAUGCCUCCGAUUUCAAAGUUCUUACCCAAGCCAGAUUUCACCUUCGUCUUUUAUGGACCCAAGGGAUAGUCGCUAACCACCUUCCUACCCCACAUUAUUUAUUGUAACCUAAGGCAUUGUGUGUUUAUUUUUUAUUUUUUAAAUGAAUUUUAUUACAUUUAUAGUUGUACAACGAUCAUCGCAACCCUCCUGGCAUCGUGUGUUUAUUCGGAACAGGAACUAUCCCCAAACUGAUCCAUCAUGCAGGCACUAGUCAUGUCUGAAACUUCCUAUCUUAGCGCCUGGAAUAAAACUUAAGUUUAAUACACCUGUGUGAAAUCUAAAUGACUAUCGUAUUAAAGAGUCUGUUAAAAAGUUCUUAUAGGAGUUCCCGUCGUGGUGCGGUGGAAAGGAAUUUGACUAGUAUCCAUGGGGACGUGGGUUCCAUCUCUGGCCUCACUCGGUGGGUUAAGGAUCCAGCAUUGUUGUGAGCUGUGACAUAGUUCGCAGAUGCAGCUCAGAUCUGGCAUUGCUGUGGCUGUGGUGUAGGCCUGUAGCUGUAGUUCCGAUUUGACUCCUAGCCUGAUAACUUCUAUAUGCCAUGGGUGCAGCCCUAAAG